CAUGACUUGUUUUUUUUUUUUUGUCCCAAUCUUUAUAGUCUUCUCUGCUGGAAUCAUACAACCAUGGAUAUUUUCUAAUUUCAUUCAGAUCGCAGUACGCCGUUUUAGAAAAAUAUGUUAUGAUGUCGUUAUUAAAGUUUCCGUUAUUGAAGUUUCAUCCGAUUGGAUGAAAGCGAUUUUGCCGAGUCCGGCAGCCAGCAGAAUUUAAACUCGACAGACCGGCCCGGCAGUCGCCAAAACCGGUAGCCCGUCACGUGGUUACCAUGGCAACUGCCGGGUGUCCGGUAAAACCGGGACAAUGGACACCCGCCUUAAAA
This 317-nucleotide long non-coding RNA is filed under the name Androctonus crassicauda. Lineage: Eukaryota; Metazoa; Arthropoda; Arachnida; Scorpiones; Buthidae. The record is from RNAcentral.